Empidonax traillii (willow flycatcher) is the source of this 795-nucleotide long non-coding RNA. RefSeq lists it as uncharacterized. The record is from RefSeq and is a predicted model, not a curated record. The transcript is spliced from 3 exons. NCBI's taxonomy places the organism in Eukaryota, Metazoa, Chordata, Aves, Passeriformes, Tyrannidae.
UGGGACAGAGUUUAUGUCUGGUACCACAGUGGGGAGCUGUGAUCACCUUGCCUGGAUCAUGCAAAAGGUGAAGAGCAGAGGCCCUGUCUUCCAUCACUUGGUUCCCUGCUGUGGGCACCUGCUCCCUGUGUGGCAUAAGGAGGUGAACUGCACGUUCUUUCAAGAGGACUGCAAGUAACAUCAGUCCUUCAAUUCUGUCAGAGGACUUGCCCACUGGAAACUGGAGCAGCAUUUAUGCUUGAAGAAUUUCCUGUGGUGGUUGUUCUCUCAACCCACCUACCUGUUCUGCUAGGGCAGAGGACUGCACAUGAUCUACACUGCUGAAUCAGUGUAAAGCUCCAGCCCUAGGGGACUUAUGAGACAUUCCUAAGUAAACCUAAAUAUAUAUUAACCCACUGAACUUUGUGUUUUGUGGGCUUUCUCCCACCCUUGAUGGAUCAAGACUGCAACCAUCACUUUGACCAGCGGACACUGAAAUAGCAACAAUCAGGUCUCGUCGCUGGAUCCACAGGUGGUGUUAUCUUUCUGCUCUUAUCAUUCCUUUCUUUUCCUUUUAUUUUCUUAAGUGAUAUUUUUAUGCUUUUAUAUUGUUAUAUUACUUUAGAUAAUAAUAACCAAAAUGGCUCCAUACCUGCUUUCCAUUGCAACCAGAUUGUUCUAAAAUAAACCCUACACACACAUAUAUACAUACAUAUUUAUAAACACUGGUCACUCAGUGUCUUUUUGCUCUAAUCUGCCCAAAGGGAUCUAUUAACAAGAACUUGAAUUACCCUUGUCCUCAGGGGUGGGUUGUAA